GAUGAACGCUGGCGGCGUGCCUAAUACAUGCCAGUCGAGCGAACAGACGAGGAGCUUGCUCCUCUGACGUUAGCGGCGGACGGGUGAGUAACACGUGGAUAACCUACCUAUAAGACUGGGAUAACUUCGGGAAACCGGCGCUAAUACCGGAUAAUAUAUUGAACCGCAUGGUUCAAUAGUGAAAGACGGUUUUGCUGUCACUUAUAGAUGGAUCCGCGCCGCAUUAGCUAGUUGGUAAGGUAACGGCUUACCAAGGCAACGAUGCGUAGCCGACCUGAGAGGGUGAUCGGCCACACUGGAACUGGGACACGGUCCAGACUCCUACGGGAGGCAGCAGUAGGGAAUCGUCCGCAAUGGGCGAAAGCUUGACGGAGCAACGCCGCGUGAGUGAUGAAGGUCUUCGGAUCGUAAAACUCUGUUAUUAGGGAAGAACAAAUGUGUAAGUAACUAUGCACGUCUUGACGGUACCUAAUCAGAAAGCCACGGCUAACUACGUG
This 497-nucleotide ribosomal RNA is filed under the name uncultured bacterium. Its description in RNAcentral is "partial 16S ribosomal RNA". It matches the Rfam family "Bacterial small subunit ribosomal RNA", at positions 28 to 507 of the family's 1533-position model. The record is from RNAcentral.